AUAGCACGUCCUAAAACUUAUUCGAUACUUAAACUGAAAUAGUUAAAGUAUCGAAUAAGUUUUAGGACGUGCUAUUUAACAUUUUUCCAUUUCACAUUAUUCUAAAAUUUUCAGUUCAUUUUAUAAAUUCUUUCACUCAACAAUGAAGUUUCAAAUCGCCUUAAUUUUUGUUACACUUAUCUCCUCCAUUGUUAUGGAGGAAUUUUCAUUUUCUAAUUUAUUUGCCAGUUUUGGUAAAAUUUUAGAUGCCAAGCAAAAUUUCAUUAGAUCUUUGGUGUCUACAGUUACAUCGCAAUUUCGUUUGCCUCAGGAAGAGAUAAACCAGCUGAAAUUCAAUGGAUUGAAUGAUGACUUCCAAAAGGCACAAUCUAUUAUCAACGAUUUUAAGGAAAAAACAGAAAAUGUACUGAAAAGCAAUUCUCCAUUGUAAAGUUCACCUCUAGAAGCAAAACCUAAGAAGCCUUUACAAUCUACGGAUGCUAAUAUUAGCUAAAUUUCAAUUAUAUAUGUGACGUAGAUUAAGUGUAAAAAUUUAGCACCAAAAAUAAAGUGGAAAUUAAA
Molecule: long non-coding RNA, 561 nt
Organism: Stomoxys calcitrans (stable fly)
Lineage: Eukaryota; Metazoa; Arthropoda; Insecta; Diptera; Muscidae
Exons: 2
Source: RefSeq, a predicted model, not a curated record